RNAcentral lists this ribosomal RNA (468 nucleotides) under uncultured bacterium. Its description in RNAcentral is "partial 16S ribosomal RNA". It matches the Rfam family "Bacterial small subunit ribosomal RNA", at positions 28 to 507 of the family's 1533-position model. The record is from RNAcentral.
GACGAACGCUGGCGGCGUGCUUAACACAUGCAAGUCGAACGGCAAGGCCCUGCUUUUGUGGGCUUCUCGAUUGGCGAACGGGUAAGUAAGACGUAAGUAACCUGACCUUCACUUUCGGGUAACUUAAGGAAACUGGGGUUAAUACCAGAUAGGAUAUCCUGCUCCAUGGUGGGGGUUGGAACUUUUCGGCGGUUGGGGCUGAAUUCGCGGCUUAUGAGCUUGUUGGUGGGGUAGUGGCUUACCAAGGCUUUGACGGGUAGGCGGCCUGUGUGGGGGACCGGCGUCAUUGGGCCUGAGAUACGGCCCAGAGUCCUACGGUAGGCAACAGUGGGGAACAUGGCACAAUGGGCGGAAGUCUGAUGCAGCAACGCCGCGGGUGGGAUGACGGUUUUUGGGUUGAAAACCGCUUUCGCCUGUGACGAAGCGGUAGUGACGGUAAUGGGUAAAGAAGCACCGGCUAACUACGUG